CACGGAGUUAGCCGGUGCUUCUUCUGCGAGUAACGUCACAGCUGUUGGGUAUUAGCCAACAACCUUUCCUCCUCGCUGAAAGUGCUUUACAACCCGAAGGCCUUCUUCACACACGCGGCAUGGCUGCAUCAGGGUUUCCCCCAUUGUGCAAUAUUCCCCACUGCUGCCUCCCGUAGGAGUCUGGACCGUGUCUCAGUUCCAGUGUGGCUGAUCAUCCUCUCAGACCAGCUAGGGAUCGUCGCCUUGGUGAGCCAUUACCUCACCAACUAGCUAAUCCCACCUGGGCAUAUCCAAUCGCGCAAGGCCCGAAGGUCCCCUGCUUUCCCCGUAGGGCGUAUGCGGUAUUAGCAGUCGUUUCCAACUGUUAUCCCCUCGACUGGGCAAUUUCCCAGGCAUUACUCACCCGUCCGCCGCUCGCCGGCAAAAGUAGCAAGCUACUUUCCCGCUGCCGCUCGACUUGCAUGUGUUAGCCUGCCGCAGCGUUCAU
This 487-nucleotide ribosomal RNA is filed under the name uncultured Aeromonas sp. RNAcentral describes it as "partial 16S ribosomal RNA". Lineage: Bacteria; Pseudomonadati; Pseudomonadota; Gammaproteobacteria; Aeromonadales; Aeromonadaceae. The record is from RNAcentral.